This 224-nucleotide long non-coding RNA is filed under the name Mytilus galloprovincialis (Mediterranean mussel). The record is from RNAcentral. Lineage: Eukaryota; Metazoa; Mollusca; Bivalvia; Mytilida; Mytilidae.
UCCGUGUAUGCGUGCUAGAUGCCCAAUCGGGACUUAUCUCUCCAAAAUAAAACAAUACAAUGCCCAAACGGGACUUGUGUUAAUGUGUUAGAGGGCCCAAACGGGACUUAUCUCUUCAUUAAAGAACAAAUACAGAAUAAAUCAAAAUAAUGCCCAAGACGGGACUCAUAUAUGCACACGAGAGAGCCCAAUCGGGACUUAUCUCUGACAUAGAAUAAAAUAUA